RNAcentral lists this transfer RNA (64 nucleotides) under Potomida littoralis. RNAcentral describes it as "tRNA-Met". Lineage: Eukaryota; Metazoa; Mollusca; Bivalvia; Unionida; Unionidae. The record is from RNAcentral.
AGUAAGGUAAGCUAACAUAAAGCUAGUGGGCCCAUAACCCAAAAAUGAUGUAUUUCCCCUACUG